This 497-nucleotide ribosomal RNA is filed under the name uncultured bacterium. Its description in RNAcentral is "partial 16S ribosomal RNA". It matches the Rfam family "Bacterial small subunit ribosomal RNA", at positions 28 to 507 of the family's 1533-position model. The record is from RNAcentral.
GAUGAACGCUGGCGGCGUGCUUAACACAUGCAAGUCGAACGAACAGACCCUGCUUUUGUUGCGUUCUCGAGUGCCGCACGGGUGAGUGUAACGCGUGUACCCUCCCCUUAUCUUUUUGGUAACUUCUCGGAACACGGGCUAUUACCGCAUAUAAGCUCCUGCUCCGUAUUGUUGGUUGGAGAAUUUCGGUGUUGGGGUCUCUACUCGCGGCUUAUCAGCUUCUUUAGCUAGUUGUUAAGGUCACGGCUUAUCAAGGCAACGAUGCCUAGCCGAGCUGAGAGGGUGAUCGGCCACACUGGAACUGAGACACGGUCCAGACUCCUACGGGAGGCAGCAGUAGGGAAUCUUCCGCAAUGGGCGAAAGCCUGACGGAGCAACGCCGCGUGAGUGAUGAAGGUCUUCGGAUCGUAAAACUCUGUUAUGAGGGAAGAACAUAUGUGUAAGGAACUGUGCACAUCUUGGCGGUACCUAAUCAGAAAGCCACGGCUAACUACGUG